RNAcentral lists this ribosomal RNA (311 nucleotides) under Scytonema chiastum VB511284. RNAcentral's name for it is "bacterial SSU rRNA". It matches the Rfam family "Bacterial small subunit ribosomal RNA", at positions 434 to 763 of the family's 1533-position model. Lineage: Bacteria; Bacillati; Cyanobacteriota; Cyanophyceae; Nostocales; Scytonemataceae. The record is from RNAcentral.
UUUCUCAGAGAAUAAUUAUGAAGGUACCUGAGGAAUCAGCAUCGGCUAACUCCGUGCCAGCAGCCGCGGUAAUACGGAGGAUGCAAGCGUUAUCCGGAAUGAUUGGGCGUAAAGGGUCYGCAGGUGGCAGUGAAAGUCUGCUGUCAAAGAGUGCAGCUCAACCGCAUAAAGGCAGUGGAAACUACACAGCUAGAGUAAGUUAGGGGCAGAGGGAAUUCCUGGUGUAGCGGUGAAAUGCGUAGAGAUCAGGAAGAACACCGGUGGCGAAAGCGCUCUGCUAGGACGAAACUGACACUGAUGACGACUUUGUU